AAAAUAAUAAAAGAAAAAGAAAUUCUAAACGGUGGAUCACUCGGCUCGUGGAUCGAUGAAGAACGCAGCUAACUGCGCGUCGAAUUGUGAACUGCAGGACACAUGAACAUCGACGUUUCGAACGCACAUUGCAGCCCUCGGAUUUUGUUCCCGGGCUACGCCUGGCUGAGGGCCGGC
This 177-nucleotide ribosomal RNA is filed under the name Hetaerina capitalis. Its description in RNAcentral is "5.8S ribosomal RNA". The stretch from base 21 to 175 matches the Rfam family "5.8S ribosomal RNA". From Rfam's summary of the family: 5.8S ribosomal RNA (5.8S rRNA) is a component of the large subunit of the eukaryotic ribosome. It is transcribed by RNA polymerase I as part of the 45S precursor that also contains 18S and 28S rRNA. Lineage: Eukaryota; Metazoa; Arthropoda; Insecta; Odonata; Calopterygidae. The record is from RNAcentral.